UCUAGUCAGAACAACCCAUGGAGGGCCAGC
RNAcentral lists this non-coding RNA (30 nucleotides) under Rattus norvegicus (Norway rat). The record is from RNAcentral. Lineage: Eukaryota; Metazoa; Chordata; Mammalia; Rodentia; Muridae.